This 497-nucleotide ribosomal RNA is filed under the name uncultured bacterium. RNAcentral describes it as "partial 16S ribosomal RNA". It matches the Rfam family "Bacterial small subunit ribosomal RNA", at positions 28 to 507 of the family's 1533-position model. The record is from RNAcentral.
GAUGAACGCUGGCGGCGUGCCUAAUACAUGCAAGUCGAGCGAACGGACGAGAAGCUUGCUUUUCUGAUGUUAGCGGCGGACGGGUGAGUAACACGUGGAUAACCUACCUAUAAGACUGGGAUAACUUCGGGAAACCGGAGCUAAUACCGGAUAAUAUUUUGAACCGCAUGGUUCAAAAGUGAAAGACGGUCUUGCUGUCACUUAUAGAUGGAUCCGCGCUGCAUUAGCUAGUUGGUAAGGUAACGGCUUACCAAGGCAACGAUGCAUAGCCGACCUGAGAGGGUGAUCAGCCACACUGGAACUGAGACACGGUCCAGACUCCUACGGGAGGCAGCAGUAGGGAAUCUUCCACAAUAGGCGAAAGCCUGACGGAGCAACGCCGCGUGAGUGAUGAAGGUCUUCGGAUCGUAAAACUCUGUUAUUAGGGAAGAACAUAUGUGUAAGUAACUGUGCACAUCUUGACGGUACCUAAUCAGAGAGCCACGGCUAACUACGUG